CACUGAGAUCCAGGGUAUCGAGUACAGCAAAUCUGUGUGUGUAUUGGAAUAGGAGAUUUACCACCAGAACUGAGGAAAUAGGACAGAUGGAAAAGCAAGGGGAAGGAAGUGUUUUUGAAGCGCCAUCAAGAGAAGGAAGAGUUCAGAUUCUGCUGCAGAGCCCAGCUGUGAACGAGUCAGGAGCUCCCACCUCUACCCGAAAACCGGAGGAGAGGGAAGUAGGCUAGAACCCAACACAGUGCUUCCGGAAAGCACUUCAGAAGGCAAAGGAGCAAGCUGAGCUUCCUAGGGAUCGGAAGAGCCAAAGGCCGAAAAGGGAAG
This is a long non-coding RNA of Prionailurus viverrinus (fishing cat), 321 nucleotides long. RefSeq lists it as uncharacterized. The record is from RefSeq and is a predicted model, not a curated record. NCBI's taxonomy places the organism in Eukaryota, Metazoa, Chordata, Mammalia, Carnivora, Felidae. The transcript has 4 exons.